RNAcentral lists this ribosomal RNA (200 nucleotides) under uncultured bacterium. RNAcentral's name for it is "partial 16S ribosomal RNA". It matches the Rfam family "Bacterial small subunit ribosomal RNA", at positions 328 to 538 of the family's 1533-position model. The record is from RNAcentral.
ACGCUCGACACCUACGGAGGCAGCAGUCGGGAAUAUUGCGCAAUGGAGGAAACUCUGACGCAGUGACGCCGCGUAUAGGAAGAAGGUUUUCGGAUUGUAAACUAUUGUCGUUAGGGAAGAGAAAGGACAGUACCUAAGGAGGAAGCUCCGGCUAACUACGUGUCAGCAACCGCGGUAAUCUGAGGCGGCUGGACGAAGGC